This is a long non-coding RNA of Python bivittatus (Burmese python), 1241 nucleotides long. RefSeq lists it as uncharacterized. The record is from RefSeq and is a predicted model, not a curated record. NCBI's taxonomy places the organism in Eukaryota, Metazoa, Chordata, Lepidosauria, Squamata, Pythonidae.
AGGGGGUCAAGUGUGGCUGCCCACCUAACAGCUUGCUGUCAUCACUUUUGCUCUUGGGUGAAGAAUAAAGAACUUCAUUUCAGGCAACUGCCUGUUGUCUCUUUGAUCCCAGCUCAGAAACGAACUGAUGAUUGUGGAGAAAAAGUGUCCGAGUCGUUUUGACCAAUAUGGGAAAAAGAAAGAAGCGACAUGGAAUUAGUCCGGGCUCUCUCUCCUCUUCAAAAUCUGCUAAACAACCGAUGAUAGAAGAACUUCUUAAACAAAAUGAAACUAUCCCAAAAGAAGCAAUUGUCUAGCACAUGGCCAGUGCUCGGCAGAACAGUCGGUAACUCCCCAAGAUCACACGCGGCAUCCUGUAAAUCAGCUGCACGUGUAGAGGUGAUAGCUGCUCCUCCAUCGGAAAUAUGUUAGUCUCCCCCUCGCCAUGUCCUGUAUGCCUGAUGGAGAAAGAGCUGGGUCAUUUCCCAUGCUCCCUACUUGGUCUCUUGCUAUCCCUGAGGUGCCCUCCACCCCAUAGAAGAAUUCCUCCUGCUCAUCUUGGUCAGCACCUAACUCCUGCAAGUUUUAGGACUUGUGUGGUGAAGAGAUCACGUUUUAACUCAUAUUUAUGCAGAAAUACUGAACGCCCACUGUCAAAUGCAAGAAAAAAGAAGAUUCCAUCCACAACCGUGGACCAGCUCAUACCUUUGCAUUCUGCUCAUGCGAAUUUUGAAUUUGCGACCCAAAAGGGGAUGAUGGAAGUAUAAGUAAUGAAUAUUGGGAAGAAGGCUUCAAUAAUGCAUUGGGAUUUUUAUCAACCUUGCAUCAAGAAGAGUAAAAGAAAGAAGUUGUGUGAUACGGUAGCAUCAUCAUACCAUAGAAAGGCCAUAAAGAUCCCCGCCAGUAGCAUCUUGCAACUGAUUUGCUGACCUGCUUUGAAUCUGAGCAGCCAGCUCCCACCAUAGAUUUCCGAUCACUCUGAUGAAGACACAAUUCUGCAACCGCUAAGCCCACUGACUCAAAAAUAGGAGAGCACAGAAGUGCCAAACUUCAGGAACGGCACACUGAGACUAAGAGGUUACUUAGGAGUUGGGGCUCUCGUAUAGCGAUACGCCUUGACCCUGACUGGGUUCAGAGGAAACCUGGAACUUCUGGCCUUGUACCUUUUCCUGAAGACAGAAAACAGAGCACUGGAAUACUGUGAGCCCUGCGACCCAGCCCUCAUUCUUGCUCUCCCAGAUUGACAUGGUUGUGGCUAUACU